UACGGAGGGAGCUAGCGUUGUUCGGAAUUACUAGGCGUAAAGCGCGCGUAGGCGGCUUUGUAAGUUAGAGGUGAAAGCCCGGGGCUCAACCCCGGAAUUGCCUUUAAGACUGCAUCGCUUGAAUCCGGGAGAGGUGAGUGGAAUUCCGAGUGUAGAGGUGAAAUUCGUAGAUAUUCGGAAGAACACCAGUGGCGAAGGCGGCUCACUGGACCGGCAUUGACGCUGAGGUGCGAAAGCGUGGGGAGCAAACAGG
Molecule: ribosomal RNA, 253 nt
Filed under: uncultured bacterium
Lineage: Bacteria
Description: partial 16S ribosomal RNA
Rfam family: Bacterial small subunit ribosomal RNA
Source: RNAcentral